Molecule: long non-coding RNA, 213 nt
Organism: Anguilla anguilla (European eel)
Lineage: Eukaryota; Metazoa; Chordata; Actinopteri; Anguilliformes; Anguillidae
Exons: 3
Source: RefSeq, a predicted model, not a curated record
CCACCACCAACUUACGGAACAAUUAAAAAACAACUGAAGAACAAUUUAUUCAUGAGAAAGAAGGAUCGCCUCAUCUUUUCCUGUCAUCCAGCUGAAUUGGCUCCAUUUGGAGUGGGGGGAAGAUCAAAGAGGAGCAACUUUGUAAAUUGAGGAAUAUCAACAGGCGUCCACUGACGCCUGAAGAAGACGUGGAAAUGCUUUGCACACGCCGAG